This 236-nucleotide long non-coding RNA is filed under the name Canis lupus familiaris (dog). Its description in RNAcentral is "lncRNA (ENSCAFG00845015227.1)". Lineage: Eukaryota; Metazoa; Chordata; Mammalia; Carnivora; Canidae. The record is from RNAcentral.
ACACGAUCAGAAUGAGAAGGGAAAUCGAAGUCUGUGAUUACAUACAAUCCUUGAGUUUAGAUCAUCUGAUCUGCAGGAGAAAAAGCAGGACAUAUCAACUUUGGCUUCCAGGGAUGAUAAGGCCACAUAAAUUUAGAAGGCCUUAGUAGAAAAAAUUUUACGAGAGAUAUGAAAUGAUUUUUCAACAAAAUCCCAGAGCCAAAAAGACCAGUUUAAGAGAAAAUAGAAACUUGAGA